This 451-nucleotide ribosomal RNA is filed under the name Rhodococcus qingshengii. RNAcentral's name for it is "bacterial SSU rRNA". It matches the Rfam family "Bacterial small subunit ribosomal RNA", at positions 31 to 499 of the family's 1533-position model. The record is from RNAcentral. Lineage: Bacteria; Bacillati; Actinomycetota; Actinomycetes; Mycobacteriales; Nocardiaceae.
GAACGCUGGCGGCGUGCUUAACACAUGCAAGUCGAGCGGUAAGGCCUUUCGGGGUACACGAGCGGCGAACGGGUGAGUAACACGUGGGUGAUCUGCCCUGCACUUCGGGAUAAGCCUGGGAAACUGGGUCUAAUACCGGAUAUGACCUCCUAUCGCAUGGUGGGUGGUGGAAAGAUUUAUCGGUGCAGGAUGGGCCCGCGGCCUAUCAGCUUGUUGGUGGGGUAAUGGCCUACCAAGGCGACGACGGGUAGCCGACCUGAGAGGGUGACCGGCCACACUGGGACUGAGACACGGCCCAGACUCCUACGGGAGGCAGCAGUGGGGAAUAUUGCACAAUGGGCGAAAGCCUGAUGCAGCGACGCCGCGUGAGGGAUGACGGCCUUCGGGUUGUAAACCUCUUUCAGCAGGGACGAAGCGCAAGUGACGGUACCUGCAGAAGAAGCACCGGCUA